RNAcentral lists this ribosomal RNA (344 nucleotides) under Ditylum brightwellii. RNAcentral's name for it is "partial Bacterial small subunit ribosomal RNA". It matches the Rfam family "Bacterial small subunit ribosomal RNA", at positions 564 to 905 of the family's 1533-position model. Lineage: Eukaryota; Bacillariophyta; Thalassiosirophyceae; Lithodesmiales; Lithodesmiaceae. The record is from RNAcentral.
AGGGCUCGUAGGCGGUUGAUCGCGUCGGAAGUGGAAACUUGAUGCUUAACGUUGAGCGUGCUUUCGAUACGGGUUGACUUGAGGAAGGUAGGGGAGAAUGGAAUUCCUGGUGGAGCGGUGGAAUGCGCAGAUAUCAGGAGGAACACCGGUGGCGAAGGCGGUUCUCUGGGAAUAUCCUGACGCUGAGGAGCGAAAGUGUGGGGAGCGAACAGGAUUAGAUACCCUGGUAGUCCACACCGUAAACGUUGGGCGCUAGGUGUGGGGUCCAUUCCACGGAUUCCGUGCCGCAGCUAACGCAUUAAGCGCCCCGCCUGGGGAGUACGGCCGCAAGGUUAAAACUCAAA